RNAcentral lists this ribosomal RNA (159 nucleotides) under Athelopsis sp. RNAcentral's name for it is "5.8S ribosomal RNA". It matches the Rfam family "5.8S ribosomal RNA". From Rfam's summary of the family: 5.8S ribosomal RNA (5.8S rRNA) is a component of the large subunit of the eukaryotic ribosome. It is transcribed by RNA polymerase I as part of the 45S precursor that also contains 18S and 28S rRNA. Lineage: Eukaryota; Fungi; Basidiomycota; Agaricomycetes; Atheliales; Atheliaceae. The record is from RNAcentral.
UACAACUUUCAACAACGGAUCUCUUGGCUCUCGCAUCGAUGAAGAACGCAGCGAAAUGCGAUAAGUAAUGUGAAUUGCAGAUUUUCAGUGAAUCAUCGAAUCUUUGAACGCACCUUGCGCUCCUUGGUAUUCCGAGGAGCAUGCCUGUUUGAGUGUCAU